RNAcentral lists this non-coding RNA (26 nucleotides) under Homo sapiens (human). Lineage: Eukaryota; Metazoa; Chordata; Mammalia; Primates; Hominidae. The record is from RNAcentral.
GAGAGUGUAUAGUCAUGGGUUCUGCC